RNAcentral lists this ribosomal RNA (207 nucleotides) under uncultured Azospirillum sp. Its description in RNAcentral is "partial 16S ribosomal RNA". It matches the Rfam family "Bacterial small subunit ribosomal RNA", at positions 568 to 774 of the family's 1533-position model. The record is from RNAcentral. Lineage: Bacteria; Pseudomonadati; Pseudomonadota; Alphaproteobacteria; Rhodospirillales; Azospirillaceae.
CGCGUAGGCGGCUUAUCAAGUCAGGCGUGAAAGCCCCGGGCUUAACCUGGGAACUGCGCUUGAGACUGGUAGGCUUGAGUACCGGAGAGGUGGGUGGAAUUCCCAGUGUAGAGGUGAAAUUCGUAGAUAUUGGGAAGAACACCGGUGGCGAAGGCGGCCCACUGGACGGUUACUGACGCUGAGGCGCGAAAGCGUGGGGAGCAAACA